GAUGAACGCUGGCGGCGUGCCUAAUACAUGCAAGUCGAGCGAACGGACGAGAAGCUUGCUUCUCUGAUGUUAGCGGCGGACGGGUGAGUAACACGUGGAUAACCUACCUAUAAGACUGGGAUAACUUCGGGAAACCGGAGCUGAUACCGGAUAAUAUUUUGAACCGCAUGGUUCAAAAGUGAAAGACGGUCUUGCUGUCACUUAUAGAUGGAUCCGCGCUGCAUUAGCUAGUUGGUAAGGUAACGGCUUACCAAGGCAACGAUGCAUAGCCGACCUGAGAGGGUGAUCGGCCACACUGGAACUGAGACACGGUCCAGACUCCUACGGGAGGCAGCAGUAGGGAAUCUUCCGCAAUGGGCGAAAGCCUGACGGAGCAACGCCGCGUGAGUGAUGAAGGUCUUCGGAUCGUAAAACUCUGUUAUUAGGGAAGAACAUAUGUGUAAGUAGCUGUGCACAUCUUGACGGUACCUAAUCAGAAAGCCACGGCUAACUACGUG
Molecule: ribosomal RNA, 497 nt
Filed under: uncultured bacterium
Lineage: Bacteria
Description: partial 16S ribosomal RNA
Rfam family: Bacterial small subunit ribosomal RNA
Source: RNAcentral